Molecule: ribosomal RNA, 311 nt
Filed under: uncultured soil bacterium
Lineage: Bacteria
Description: bacterial SSU rRNA
Rfam family: Bacterial small subunit ribosomal RNA
Source: RNAcentral
AGAACGAACGCUGGCGGCAUGCCUAAUACAUGCAAGUCGAACGAACACUUCGGUGUUAGUGGCGCACGGGUGCGUAACGCGUGGGAAUCUGCCCUUGGGUUCGGAAUAACCGUUGGAAACGACUGCUAAUACCGGAUGAUAUCGAAAGAUCAAAGAUUUAUCGCCCAGGGAUGAGCCCGCGUAGGAUUAGCUAGUUGGUGAGGUAAAGGCUCACCGAAGGCGACGAUCCUUAGCUGGUCUGAGAGGAUGAUCAGCCACACUGGGACUGAGACACGGCCCAGACUCCGUACGGGAGCAGGCAGUAGGGAAUA